CUGGCGGCGUGCUUAAUACAUGCAAGUCGAACGAAGCACUUUGACAGAUCCCCUCGGGUGAAGAUGAUUGUGACUUAGUGGCGGACGGGUGAGUAACGCGUGGGGAACCUGCCUCGUGCUGGGGGAUAACAGUUAGAGAUGACUGCUAAUACCGCAUAAGCGCACAGUAAGGCAUCUUACAGUGUGAAAAAGAUUUAUCGGCAUGAGAUGGACCCGCGUCUGAUUAGGUAGUUGGCGGGGUAACGGCCCACCAAGCCCGCGAUCAGUAGCCGACUUGAGAGAGUGAUCGGCCACAUUGGGACUGAGACACGGCCCAGACUCCUACGGGAGGCAGCAGUAGGGAAUAUUGCACAAUGGGGGAAACCCUGAAUGCAGCGACGCCGCGUGAGUGAUGAAGUAUUUCGGUACGUAAAACUCUAUCAGCAGGGAAGAUAAUGACGGUACCUGACUAAGAAGCCCCGGCUAACUACGUGCCAGCCGCCGC
This 484-nucleotide ribosomal RNA is filed under the name uncultured bacterium. RNAcentral's name for it is "bacterial SSU rRNA". It matches the Rfam family "Bacterial small subunit ribosomal RNA", at positions 36 to 518 of the family's 1533-position model. The record is from RNAcentral.